GAAAUGCGAUAAGUAAUGUGAAUUGCAGAAUUCAGUGAAUCAUCGAAUCUUUGAACGCACCUUGCGCUCCUUGGUAUUCCUUGGAGCAUGCCUGUUUGAGUAUCAUGAAAUCUUCAAAGUAAAUCUUUUGUUAACUCAAUUGGUUUCUACUUGGGUAUUGGAGGUCUUUGCAGCUUCACACCUGCUCCUCUUUGUUCAUUAGCUGGAUCUCAGUGUUAUGCUUGGUUCCACUCGGCGUGAUAAGUUAUCUAUCGCUGAGGACACUGUAAAAGGUGGCCAAGGUAAAUGCAGAUGAACCGCUUCUAAUAGUCCAUUGACUUGGACAAUACUUUUAUGAUCUGAUCUCAAAUCAGGUAGGACUACCCGCUGAACUUAAGC
Molecule: unclassified non-coding RNA, 378 nt
Filed under: plant metagenome
Description: partial contains 5.8S ribosomal RNA, internal transcribed spacer 2, and large subunit ribosomal RNA
Rfam family: 5.8S ribosomal RNA (bases 1-105)
Source: RNAcentral